CCGCAGGCCAGAUCAUCCAGAGCCCCGCCGUGGCCAAGGCCAGUGACGCUGGGACGGCCUCCGAGGCCCUGAGGUCCAUGAGCGAGGACCCGGACCCCGCGGUCAGCUGCCUGGCCACGCAGACCCUGCACGUCCUGGAAGCCAGCAGGAGCCAGCCGGCUCGGACCCGGACCUGCUGGCUCUGCUGCUGGAGACGCUGAGGGAGCCGCUCUGGACGGACGGGCGGGCGGACACCGCACCCUCGGGGGGCAGCCCAGAGCCGGUGGGUGGCUCCUGAGCCCGGGGCUGGAGGCGGAGGCCUGGGCCUGCGCAACCUUCACAAUAAAAGGAGGAACUUC
Long non-coding RNA from Pipistrellus kuhlii (Kuhl's pipistrelle), 338 nucleotides. RefSeq lists it as uncharacterized. NCBI's taxonomy places the organism in Eukaryota, Metazoa, Chordata, Mammalia, Chiroptera, Vespertilionidae. The record is from RefSeq and is a predicted model, not a curated record. The transcript is spliced from 2 exons.